This 255-nucleotide ribosomal RNA is filed under the name uncultured bacterium. Its description in RNAcentral is "partial 16S ribosomal RNA". The record is from RNAcentral.
UCUCACGACACGAGCUGACGACAGCCAUGCAGCACCUGUGCUCCAGGCUCCGAAGAGAAGGUCACAUCUCUGCGACCGGUCCUGGACAUGUCAAGGGCUGGUAAGGUUCUGCGCGUUGCGUCGAAUUAAACCACAUGCUCCACCGCUUGUGCGGGCCCCCGUCAAUUCCUUUGAGUUUUAAUCUUGCGACCGUACUCCCCAGGCGGAAUGCUUAAAGCGUUAACUGCGCCACUGCCGGGUAAACCCGCCAACGGC